Molecule: ribosomal RNA, 678 nt
Filed under: uncultured Ceratobasidium
Lineage: Eukaryota; Fungi; Basidiomycota; Agaricomycetes; Cantharellales; Ceratobasidiaceae
Description: eukaryotic LSU rRNA
Rfam family: 5.8S ribosomal RNA (bases 252-405)
Source: RNAcentral
CUUUAGAGGAAGUAAAAGUCGUAACAAGGUUUCCGUAGGUGAACCUGCGGAAGGAUCAUUAUCGAAUGAAUGUAGAGUCGGUUGUAGCUGGCCCCCGGGCAUGUGCACGCCUUCUCUUUCAUCCACACACACCUGUGCACCUGUGAGACGGAGGCUUUUUUCCUCGCGAGGGGAAGGGUUUCCGUCUGUUCAACUAUACAAACUCAUAUAUAUAAAUUCGAAUGUAAACGAUGUAAACGCAUCAUUAAACUAAGUUUCAACAACGGAUCUCUUGGCUCUCGCAUCGAUGAAGAACGCAGCGAAAUGCGAUAAGUAAUGUGAAUUGCAGAAUUCAGUGAAUCAUCGAAUCUUUGAACGCACCUUGCGCUCCUUGGUAUUCCUUGGAGCAUGCCUGUUUGAGUAUCAUGAAAUUCUCAAAACAAGUCUUUCGUUCAUUCGGCUGACUUUGUUUUGGACUUGGAGGUCUUGCAGAUUCACGUCUGCUCCUCUCAAAAGCAAUUAGCUGGAUCUCGGAGCUCGGUUCCACUCGGCGUGAUAAAUAUCACUCGCUGAGGACACCCACCCAGGUGGCCGGGUUUGCGGAUUGAGCCGCUUCUAAUCGUCCAUUUGCUUGGACAACAACACUUUAUGAUCUGAUCUCAAAUCAGGUAGGACUACCCGCUGAACUUAAGCAUAUCA